AUGAUACCGUUUAAGAAUAACAUCUUUGUGUGGUAUCUUCAUCGAGGAGUCAUUCUUACCAAAGAUUACCUUAUUAAGAAGAAUUGGCGUAUAAAUAUGCAAUGUGUUUUUUGUCAUCAUGACAAAACAAUAAAACACUUGUUCUUCCAAUUCAAAUUAGCUCGGUCUAUAUGGUCAAUCAUCCAAAUAGCUUCUCGCUUGUAUCCUUCAUGUAGUGUUGCUAACCUUUUUGGUAACUGA
RNAcentral lists this ribosomal RNA (240 nucleotides) under Triticum aestivum (bread wheat). Its description in RNAcentral is "partial small subunit ribosomal RNA". Lineage: Eukaryota; Viridiplantae; Streptophyta; Magnoliopsida; Poales; Poaceae. The record is from RNAcentral.